This 897-nucleotide ribosomal RNA is filed under the name methanogenic prokaryote enrichment culture B31_1_23. RNAcentral's name for it is "bacterial SSU rRNA". It matches the Rfam family "Bacterial small subunit ribosomal RNA", at positions 8 to 916 of the family's 1533-position model. The record is from RNAcentral.
AGAGUUUGAUCCUGGCUCAGGGUGAACGCUGGCGGCGUGCUUGACACAUGCAAGUCGAACGGUAUGUGGCAACACAUAGAGUGGCGAACGGGUGAGUAACACGUGGGAACGUACCUUCUGCAGGGGGAUAACUGACCGAAAGGACAGCUAAUACCGCAUAAGGCCGAGAGGAGAAAGGUGCAAUAGCAUCGGCAGAGGAGCGGCCCGCGGACCAUCAGCUAGUUGGUGGGGUAAGAGCCUACCAAGGCGACGACGGAUAGCCGGCGUGAGAGCGUGGCCGGCCACAAGGACACUGAGAUACGGGUCCUACUCCUACGGGAGGCAGCAGUGCGGAAUUUUAGAUAAUGGAGGCAACUCUGAUCUAGCGACGCCGCGUGCAGGAAGAAGGUCUUCGGAUUGUAAACUGCUGUGGUAAGGGAAAAAUGCCAUGUAGAGUGGAAAGCUACAUGGAGGGAUGGUACUUUACUAGAAAGCCCCGGCUAACUACGUGCCAGCAGCCGCGGUAAUACGUAGGGGGCGAGCGUUACCCGGAAUCACUGGGCGUAAAGGGAGCGUAGGUGGCCUGACAUGUCGACUGUGAAAACCCGGAGCUCAACUCCGGACUUGCAGUUGAAACUGCCAGGCUUGAGGACGGUAGAGGAAGACGGAACUGCCAGUGUAGGGGUAAAAUCCUUAGAUAUUGGCAGGAACGCCGGUGACGAAAGUGGUUUUCUGGGCCGGUUCUGACACUGAUGCUCGAAAGCCAGGGGAGCGAACGGGAUUAGAUACCCCGGUAGUCCUGGCCCUAAACGAUGUUCACUAGGUGUGGGGAGCGGAAAGCUUUCCGUGCUAAAGCUAACGCGAUAAGUGAACCGCCUGGGGAGUACGCCCGCAAGGUGAACUCAAAGGAAUUGACGG